Molecule: unclassified non-coding RNA, 380 nt
Filed under: uncultured bacterium
Lineage: Bacteria
Description: contains 16S-23S intergenic spacer region
Source: RNAcentral
UCCGGUUUAACACCGGCAGUCUCACUAGAGUGCCCAGCCUAACUGAUGGCAACUAAGGGCGAGGGUUGCGCUCGUUGCGGGACUUAACCCAACAUCUCACGACACGAGCUGACGACAGCCAUGCAGCACCUGUCUCCGGUCCAGCCGAACUGAAGGAAACCGUCUCUGAUUUCCGCGACCGGGAUGUCAAGGGCUGGUAAGGUUCUUCGCGUUGCUUCGAAUUGAACCACAUGCUCCACCGCUUGUGCGGGCCCCCGUCAAUUCCUUUGAGUUUCAGCCUUGCGACUGUACUCCCCAGGCGGCAUAUUUAACGCGUUAGCUCCGGCACAGAUCAACUGAAUGACCCACACCAAAUAUGCAUCGUUUAGGGCGUGGACUAC